This 482-nucleotide ribosomal RNA is filed under the name uncultured bacterium. RNAcentral's name for it is "partial 16S ribosomal RNA". It matches the Rfam family "Bacterial small subunit ribosomal RNA", at positions 28 to 523 of the family's 1533-position model. The record is from RNAcentral.
GACGAACGCUGGAGGCGUGCUUAACACAUGCAAGUCGAACGAUGAAAUGGAGCUUGCUCCAUGGACUAGUGGCGAACGGGUGAGUAACACGUGAAUAACCUGCCCUUAAUUUUGGAAUAACCCAGGGAAACCUGGGUUAAUACCGGAUAAGUAAACCUGUGGCAUCACAUGGUUUUGGAAAGUUUUUAGAUUAAGGAUGGAUUCACGGCCUAUGAGCUUGUUGGUGAGGUAAUGGCCCACGAAGGGGGCGAAGGGUAGCCGGCCUGCUAGGGUGAACAGCCACACUGGGACUGAGGCACGGCCCAGACUCCGACGGGAGGCAGCAGUGGGGAAUAGUGCGCAAUGGACGAAAGUAUGACGCAGCGACGCCUCGUGAGGGACGAAGGUCUUCGGAUUGUAAACCUCUUACAGCAGGGACGAGGCGAAAGUGACGGUACCUGCAGAAGAAGCACCGGCUAACUAUGUGCCAGCAGCCGCCGUAA